UUUGAUGGCGACCGGCGCACGGGUGAGUAACACGUAUCCAACCUGCCGAUGACUCGGGGAUAGCCUUUCGAAAGAAAGAUUAAUACCCGAUGGCAUAGUUCUUCCGCAUGGUAGAACUAUUAAAGAAUUUCGGUCAUCGAUGGGGAUGCGUUCCAUUAGGUUGUUGGCGGGGUAACGGCCCACCAAGCCUUCGAUGGACAGGGGUUCUGAGAGGAAGGUCCCCCACAUUGGAACUGAGACACGGUCCAA
Molecule: ribosomal RNA, 249 nt
Filed under: uncultured bacterium
Lineage: Bacteria
Description: partial 16S ribosomal RNA
Rfam family: Bacterial small subunit ribosomal RNA
Source: RNAcentral